Molecule: ribosomal RNA, 391 nt
Filed under: Clostridioides sp. ZZV14-6150
Lineage: Bacteria; Bacillati; Bacillota; Clostridia; Peptostreptococcales; Peptostreptococcaceae
Description: bacterial SSU rRNA
Rfam family: Bacterial small subunit ribosomal RNA
Source: RNAcentral
UUAUUUGAGAGUUUGAUCCUGGCUCAGGAUGAACGCUGGCGGCGUGCCUAACACAUGCAAGUUGAGCGAUUUACUUCGGUAAAGAGCGGCGGACGGGUGAGUAACGCGUGGGUAACCUACCCUGUACACACGGAUAACAUACCGAAAGGUAUGCUAAUACGGGAUAACAUAUUUGAGAGGCAUCUCUUGAAUAUCAAAGGUGAGCCAGUACAGGAUGGACCCGCGUCUGAUUAGCUAGUUGGUAAGGUAACGGCUUACCAAGGCGACGAUCAGUAGCCGACCUGAGAGGGUGAUCGGCCACAUUGGAACUGAGACACGGUCCAAACUCCUACGGGAGGCAGCAGUGGGGAAUAUUGCACAAUGGGCGAAAGCCUGAUGCAGCAACGCCGCG